UUCAUAUAUAUAAACUAUAUAUAUGAAUAAUAUGAUGUGAAUAUACAUGGAGGAAUUAUAUAUGUAUAUGAAUCCCUUAGCCUAGCGUAAGAGCCUAACACUGCAGGUUUAAGAGAUGUAGCAGCUCAGUAAAUGGUAGUUCUUAUGAACUUUCAUAUACACGCACAUAGAGGCAUUUAAAUGACUGACGUACACAGUCUGAAUGCUGAUACAACAUCCACAAAUUUAAGGAGAAACGCAAUCAUAGAAACCACUCAGGAGUUGGCAGAGCUGAUGCAUCAUAUGUUUGCUCUAAUUGCAAUAUGGCUAGAUAGCAAUUUAAAAGAUUCAACAAUUAUUUAACAUUUGAGAAGCCAAGUUGAUUUGAGGCUGUUUUUAGAAAUAGGAUAUGUUCAUACGUGGUAAAAUUUCGAGAGUCGUAUUCAAACCAAGCCACCAAAUCAUUUCAGUCGCCUUUCAAAGACGCACCUACCGAUGGCAUGGUUCCAGAUGUAUCAAUGACAAGUGAGAUUAAAAAAAAAAUCACAUGUUCUUCCUACUCACAACUAGCUUUAAGUCUGGUGAUAGAAACAGGUGUGUGAGCAAUACACUAUAUUAGGAGACAAACAGCAGCCUAAAUAACAUGCUCAGGCUACACCAGUCGAAUGUAAUGUGCUGAGCCUGGGGUGCCCAGUGUGGCCCUCGACGAGGGCACUAGCGCCGAUGGGAGAAGCUCCACCAUCACUUAAUGAAGACAAGUCUUGCCUUGCUGGCAUAUGAUAAGCUUUAGUCUUGCUCCAAAACUACAGCAGCGGCAGUAACAACAACCCGUAACAUAGCAGAGCUCUCCAUUCAUCCCUCCAUGUGCCGGAUGCUGAGGGGAGUAGUGAGAUGGGAGUGUGAGCCCCACCUGCAUGAACCUACGCCAACCAACCGAGAGAUGAGGCUCCAUCAGGGCAUCGGGUUCAGGCUGGGGCAGGAGGCCAGACUUUCCUGAGAACGUAAUAUUCAAACGGAGACCAGAAGGAGAGUAGAAUAUGUGAAAGUGGUGAUUUGGGGAAGAGCUUUGAGCCUUGAGCUGUUGGAGGAAGGCCCAUGAGGCUGGAAUAAGGCAAGAGAGGGGCAGAGUGAUGGGGGAGAAGGCUGGAGAGGCCAGGAUGGGCCAGGCAGAACCCAGCGGCUGUGCACCUGCUGACCACGUGCCAUGGGACGUCAUUGGAGGGCUUUACGAAGGGGAGAGAUAUCAUCUUACUAAUGUUUUUAAAAGUUUUUUAUGCUUCCUCAACAUAUUAAACAUGGAAUUACCAUGUGAUCCAGCAGUUCUACUUCUGGGUAUAUACCAAAAAGAAUAAAAAGUAGGGACUCAAACAUAUUUAUACCCUAGCGUUCAUAACAGUGUUAUUCAUCAUAGCCAAAAGGCGGAAGUGAAGUAACCCCAGUGUCCACUGAUGGAGAAUGGAUAGGAAAGGGAUGGUCUGUCCACACAAUGGAAUAUUAUUCAGCCUUAAAAAGGGAAGGAAAUUCUGGCACAUGCUACAGCGUGGAUGAACUUUGAAGACAACACGCUGAGUGAAAUAAGCCAGACAUAAAAGGACAAAUACUGUGUGAUACCACUCCCAUGAGGUCCCUAGAAUAUCCAAUUCAAGGAGACAGAGAGUAGAGAGGUGGUUGCCAGGGGCUGGGGGAGAUGGGAGAAUGGAGAGUUAUGUUUCCUGGGGACAGAGUUUCAGUUUGGGAAGCAGUAAAAGUUCUGGAGGUGGGUGGUGGGAAUGUUUGCACAACAAUUUGAAUGUACUUAAUGCCACUAAACUGCACGCUUAAAUAUGGUUAAAGUGGGCCAGGUGCAGUGACUCAUGCCCAUAAUCCCAGCACUUCGGGAGGCCGAGGUGGGUAGAUCACUUGAGGUCAGGAGUUUGGGACCAGCCUGACCAACAUGGUGAAACCCUGUCUCUACUAAAAAACAAACAAACAAACAAAAAACCCAAAAAUUAGCCAGCUGUCGUGGUGCAUGCCUGUAAUCCCAGCUACUCAAGAGGUUGAGACAGGAGAAUCGGUUGAACCCAGGGGGUGAAGGUUGCAGUGAGCUGAGACUGCGCUACUGCACUUUAGCCUGGGUGACAGAGCAAGACUCCAUCUCAAAAAACAAAAAAAUCUAUAUCUAUAUCUAUAUCUCUCUCUAUCUCUAUCUAUCUAUAUAUAUGGUUAAAGUGGUAAGUUUUAUGUUAUGUAUAUUCUAACACAUUAAAACAAAGCUCGUUAUGGGUGCUUUAUGGGGAGCAGGGAGUGGGGGAUGAGGGUGGGAAGGGAAACCAGUGUUGGGGGAACAAGCCUCCCGGCUCUUGCAGUAGCCCCACGAGGAGCCCAGGAUGGCUGGGGCAGGAUGGAGCAGCAGAGAUGAAGGGAGUGGGUGGGUUCCCUGCUCACAGGUGAGGUGAGAUGUGCUGGGCUGGGUGAUGAACCAGAUGGGAGGAGGUGGUGAGACAGGGGGAGAGCCAGGUGCCAGGGAUAGCUGCUCCCUGUUCUGGCACCAGCAAUGAGAAAAUAAAAACACCACAGAGUGUGGCAGCAAUCACUAGGGGAGGGACACACUUGGUGGUGCAGGCAGGUGGGGCAGUGGGGGUUCAAGUGUUCAGGUUGGACACACACCACCUUUGAGAUGACUACGAAAGACCCAAGGGUGGGUGUUAAAUAGGGGGCUGGAUACAUAGGUCUGGAGCUCAGCAGGACGUGCCAGGAAGGAAAUGGGAGAUGAUAGAAUGGGAAUGUCACGGAAACCACAGGGAGAGAGGGGACUGCUCAGGUGGAGGGUGAAGGGCAGUAGGAAAAAAUGCAGGCCAGGAGGUGCAACAAGCCUACACCAGGCCUGACUGGUCAGCCUUGAAUCCCAGCAAAUUAGCCUUUUCUCUUUAACCAGAGACAUGAGCACUUGGAUGAGAGUUGCCAGUCGCUAGAUAUUUAAAACUGCUAAGUGAAAUAAACUGGGCACAGAGAGACAAACAAUGCAUGAUCUCACUUUCAUGUGGAAUUUAAAACAAUUUUUUGUUUUAUUUUUUUUGAGAUGGAGUCUUGCUCUGUUGCCCAGGCUGGAGUGCAGUGGCACAACCUCUGCUCACUGCAACCUCCAUCUCCCAGGUUCAAAAUUCUCCUGCCUCAGCCUCCCAAGUAGCUGAGAUUACAGGAGCCCAUCACCAUGCCCGGCUAAUUUUUUUUUUUUUUUUUUGUAUUUUUAGUAGAGAUGGAGCUUCACCAUUUAAAACGAUUUGAAUUCAUAGAAGUAGAGGGUAGAAUGAUGGCUACCAGAGGCUCGGGGAGAGGGAAGAAAAGGGAGUUAUUGGUCGAAGAAUACAAUGUUUCAGCUCAACAGGAAAAAUAGGUUUUGAGAUCUAUUGCACAGCAGAGUAACUACAGUCAAUGAUGCAUAUUUCAAAAUAACUAAGUUAUAUGUAACAAAAUAACUCAAUGUAUCAUCACAGAAAAUGUCAAGCAAUUGAGGUGAGGGAUUUGUUCAUUAGCUUGAUUUAAUCACCCCACAAUGUGUACAUAUAUCAAAAUAUCUCAUUAUAUGCCAUAAAUGUAAUGCAAUUAUGAUCUGUCAAUUAAAAAUAAUAUAAAAAUGCAUGGAAACGAAGUACACAGGGCAGGCCUGCUAGUCCCACGGACCUCUGGUUCUCCAAGCUGCAAAAUGCAGAUGACUGGCUCCCUUGGUGGCAGGAGACAGGGUCAGGUUGGAACCUAAGUAGGCAUUGAGUAUCAGAUCUUACUAAACCAACUCUAUCAAACCCUCUCUGCUUGGAGAGGCCCAGCAUGAGAGAGAGCGAGACAUAAAGGAAAAACAGUGAUGGCUAGGAGGGAAAGGAGGUAUAGAGCAGCAAGGUCCGCAGUCUACCUGAAAUACAAAGGCUCUGUGUCUGUAUGCCGUCUAUUUUGUUUGCACAGCAAUCCUCCUUUUCCUUCAAUUAGUCUGACAGAGGCUUUGCUGAUCGCAGGCAAGAGAGUGAAGAAACGCCCACACAGCAAGUGUUCUCAUCUUCAGGCAAGAGGCAAUGCCAGUCUUCUAUUAUAAUGGUCAUAAAAAUGUCAGUUACUGUACCAUGUACAUAUGUUGAAGGAGAAAUUCCUUCUUGCUCUCUCCUGGUCUCUCUUUUUUUAAUUGCAGGAGACUCCUUUUGGAGCUUAGACUUAGUUUGCAUUUUCUGGACAUGCUCCAGCUGGUCCCAAAGUGGGUAGCAGAGAGGAGCUAGCUGUAGAAUAAUGGAGAUUUUCCUCAAUAUGUAAGAACUUCCCUAGCCUGGGCACAGUGACUUAUGCCUGUAAUCCCAGCACUUUGGGAGGCCAAGGCAGGCAGAUCACUGAGCAACUCCUGAGCAACAUAGUGAAACCCCAACUUUACUAAAAAUACAAAACUUAGCCGGGCGUGGUGGCAGAUGCCUGUAAUCUCAGCUACUCGGGAGGCUGAGGCAGGAGAAUCGCUUGAACCUGGGAGGCAGAGGUUGCAGUGAGCCGAGAUCGUGCUACUGCGCUCCAGCCUGGGUGACCAAGCAAGACUCUCAAAAAAAAAAAAAAAAAAAACUUCCCAAGAGUAAACACUACUAAAAUUUUGUAUUUCCGCUGGAGAGAGUUUACCAGCCACACACUUGGAUUAGGAUGGGGUUACCAUAAUCCAUGCUGGCACAAGUGAGAAGUGGAUGUCUGCUGGGGGCUGUCAGAAAAAUGGGUGGGGAAGAGCUUCGCUGCAGGUACCAGCGAGCCUUGAGAUGUUGUGGACUGUGGGCAAGCUUUCCAGGCCUAGGAAUUUAGGCCGGGUUUUGAAGCUUGGCAUCACCAUGGCCUGGAGGGCAAAGGAGAAGGACUUCGGACCCAAAUCCAAAAGAAUGAAGUAGGAAGAGGAGGCCAGGUGGAGUUGGAGGGGUGGACAGGGGCUAUGCAUGUCUCUGGAACCAGGUUCAGGGCACCUAGAGUUUUGUGAUGGAGUGCCAGGUGUAGGAGGGACAUGGUAGAUCCAGAGGCGCUGCAUCCUGAGAGCCUCCUGCCUCCUGGGGCAGAGACACAGGGUGGGGAGGCUGAUGGUCCUGACGCUGGUGCCAGGCCUUCUGUGGCAGAGGAUUCUCCUCUGCUUCCUGCCCAGCCCUGCAUCUGAGGCCAGGAUGUAGGCAGGCUCAAAGCAGGGUGAGGACAUGUGUAUAUGCAUAUGUGUGCAUGCCUGAGUGUGCACAUUUGUUCACAUGCAUGCACACAUCUGCGUGCAUGUUUGUGUAUGUGCAUGUGCAUUUUGUGUGUGCGCACAUGUGUGUGUUGCUUCCAAUAAUAUCCCCACAUCUGGCCUUCCUACUGCACGCAGCCACAUCUGGAGGCAGGCAGCUGAGCCAGGUGAACUGUCAAUACCCAUCUAGCUUUAUUACAAUGUGAUUCGGGGACUCUGCAGAGAGCACUCUGCAGCAAAGUAUGACAUGGGAUCUUUUUCAGCUAUGGACUUGCCAGCAGUCUUCUGCAGCCAUGUCUUCUGGGCCAGCCUUGUAGGGAAUUGCCCCUCCCUAUUCCUGCCCAGCCUGGUUCCAUCUGGUUGCUGUCAGGCUCCCGGCUGCUGGGUGGAGGAGAACUGCAGUGGCAGAGUUUGCUCAUCUGGAUGCUUAAUAAGCAGGCACCCUCCCUAUGCCAAAGCAAAGCCUGCAAGAGAGGACUCUGAUGGGUUGUGGGCAAGAGCAGCAUUGGCUUUGCCAUCCCCAAUCUCAUCGUGACCUCCUGGGUAGGGGAAAGGGAGCCCCUGGCAGAGGCUGUGGCCUCCUUUUCACUGGCAAGAUGUGGACUUUUCCUCCUAGUUAUGAAAGGGCCAUGGGGCAUGUCACACAUUGAGGGAGGUCUAAGAAAAGGAAACUGCCACCCAUGUUUGACUGUGAUGACACUGGUAGAAAUGCCAUCCCGGAAGCAAGGAUAGAGACCGCCUUCUCCCUCCCCUUGUGUUUGUUUCCAUGUGCUUGUUCCCAUUGGGAGUGGGAGGAUGAGUUUAGAGAGUAUUGAGAUGAUGCCUUUAUUUAGGUGAAGCAGAGCUUGGCCAGUCUAAAGUCAAGCUCCAUAGAUGGAGCCUUGCUAGAGAGCCGCCUCUGAGGAGCUAGGAUUGCUUAUGAGAACCAGGGAGGAGGAAAGACAGUGGGAAGGGGUAGGCAGGGAUGCAGGCUGCCCAUGGAGCAAGGUGGAGAACCUGUCACAGGGUACCCGGCCUUUUACAAGGGCUUUUCGGGGAAGGAGCUGUAUCAGAGGCUGUUACUUGCCUCCUCAAUAUCCAUUCUUCCCUACUGUUGCUAUCACAGGAAGGUGAACCCGUGCCCAGCUAAAAGCCUAUAUUUCAGUGUCCCUUGCUGGAAUUGUGGCCAAGGAGAUGUAAGUGGAAGUCACUGGACGGGAUUCUGGGAAGGCUUUGUGAAGGGGGCUGACCCAGCUGGAAAAAGUGACCUUUUGUACUUCUGUCUUCUCCUUUUUUGUAUCUGCAAAGAAGUGGAAUGACUGGAGCUCCAGCAGCCAUCUUGUGCCUAUGAGCUAGAAGAGUCACUGCUGGAAGAUCCAAUGCUGGAAUUGACAGUAGAUGCUCACAGUCAUCACGGGAGCUGAGCUCUAUAACUGUACCCAGCCCAGGGCCUGUGCAUACACUGGUUCCUACAAGGGUGGUGAUGCGAAGUGAAUGCUUGGGAACUGGGACUGGGAUGUAAAUUUCCCGUUUGCCAGGGGCCAGCUCUGGGACCUCAGGUGAAUGUGACACUUCUCUGGGUAGCCAAGUCAUCACCUACAGAAUGCAGGACAUGUCAAACGACUUCAUUUGAUGCACAAUAAGCAAAAAUCAGCAAACUCUCAGGGGACUUUGUAAAGACACAGGCAGUUUGAGGAGGUAAUGUGGCAGAGUGGGAAGAGUGAGAAUUUGGUAAUAACCAAAUGAACAAAGAAACAAAAUAAAGAAACAACAGAUAAUGUUUUCU
Long non-coding RNA from Pan troglodytes (chimpanzee), 6944 nucleotides. RefSeq lists it as uncharacterized. The record is from RefSeq and is a predicted model, not a curated record. The transcript has 2 exons. NCBI's taxonomy places the organism in Eukaryota, Metazoa, Chordata, Mammalia, Primates, Hominidae.